Molecule: long non-coding RNA, 1369 nt
Organism: Halichondria panicea
Lineage: Eukaryota; Metazoa; Porifera; Demospongiae; Suberitida; Halichondriidae
Exons: 2
Source: RefSeq, a predicted model, not a curated record
UAUACCUUGAAUAUGUGUAUAUUUUUGUUUUUGUACAAUUAAUAAUACAUGCACAUUUUUGAUUUUAUUCCAAGUUUCUUUAUUGCGUGGUACCAGGAGUACAUGUAUACUCUUGAUCCUGGUAGUACCCUGGUUUACUCUCAACCAUGCUCAUUAACAUUUUUCUACGUCAGUGGGGACCACGCCGUGAUAUGCGACUUACAUAGUCCUCUUCCAGAGACUGAACUGCAGCCGGUGGUGAGUAGUGAUGAGACAACUUAAUUUGUUUGAUAUCUCCAUUAAACACAUUGACUUUGUGCAUGUACAAGAAUGCAGCCUAGCUUGUAAAUAAUUUUGUUAAUAUUGUACACAUUAUCAUGCAACUUGAAUUGCAUACAUAAAAUCGUGUCUGCUUAUUAGGUGUGAUAUUGUUAGAGUUAGUAUUAGCCAGUACUAUAUAAUUACCUAUUAUUUUGCUGUUAAUCAAUGCAGUUAAAAUUUCAAGAGUCCAAAUGUGUAACACAACUUGAUAGAUAGAUAAUAAUGAAUAGGAAUACCACAUCCACAAAGUUGUGGUUUUUCAUUUAAGUCCUAUAUGGACUAGCUUGACACACUGUUUGAUAAGAUAACAAGAGAGAUGAUUGAGACACUGAAGAAAAAACACUGCAUGAAGAUAAAACUAAAAGCAAAUCACUAUAUACGGUCAAAAAAAUAGAUGAAGCGUGAUUGAGAAACGAUCAAUAAAAGGUUUGGAGUGUCAUGACGAGUGUUAGUGCUAUAUAGAACAGUAAUUGAUUGAGCGACCGACCGGCCAACAGAUUCUGCAGUGAAAAUAGCACACAAAUGAUCAUAAUUAUAAUUAUACAUAGAGCCAUAGAGAGCCAUGCAUAUAAAGAGACACAUGUACGUACGUACAUGCAUGUAAUAUGUAUAAUAUGAUGUAGCUCAAGCAUGCAUGCAUGUGGUAUAUUAAAGAAGCAACAUGACAAUCAAACUAAUUAUGAACUCAUGAAUAGGCCAGCUUCUCAUGGAUGACAGAGCAAUCCACUGGAUUCCUCCUCCAACAGUCCAGCAUGAGUUCUGCAAGGGAAAGAACACACUCAGGCUUAAAAUAUAUCAAUAGUGAAAAUAGUGGUCAAGCUGUAACAACAUGCAGUUGCCAUACUACAGUAUCUGUGUAUUGAUGUACACACAGUGUAGAUAUAGGAUCUCUACGGUGGCCCUGAGUGCUACUCUAGUUGAUAGUUCAUACUUGAUAGUUCAAAUGCCUAGUUGAUAGUUCGCAGUUGCUACUUGAUAGUUCAAAUGCGUAGUUGGUAGUUCGCAGUUGCUACUAAGAUAGUUCAAAUGCGUAGUUGGUAGUUCGCAGUUGCUACUAAGAUAGUUCAAA